Molecule: ribosomal RNA, 301 nt
Filed under: uncultured bacterium
Lineage: Bacteria
Description: partial 16S ribosomal RNA
Rfam family: Bacterial small subunit ribosomal RNA
Source: RNAcentral
CAGUCGCCACGGUAAUACCGAGGGUGCAAGCGUUAAUCGGAAUUACUGGGCGUAAAGCGCGCGUAGGUGGUUUGUUAAGUUGGAUGUGAAAUCCCCGGGCUCAACCUGGGAACUGCAUCCAAAACUGGCAAGCUAGAGUAUGGUAGAGGGUGGUGGAAUUUCCUGUGUAGCGGUGAAAUGCGUAGAUAUAGGAAGGAACACCAGUGGCGAAGGCGACCACCUGGACUGAUACUGACACUGAGGUGCGAAAGCGUGGGGAGCAAACAGGAUUAGAUACCCCCGUAGUCCCUGUCUCUUAUAC